GAUGAAGAACGUAGCGAAAUGCGAUAAGUAAUGUGAAUUGCAGAAUUCAGUGAAUCAUCGAAUCUUUGAACGCACCUUGCGCCCCCUGGUAUUCCGGGGGGCAUGCCUGUUCGAGCGUCAUUACAACCCUCAAGCUCUGCUUGGUAUUGGGCCCCGCCAGUUCUGGCGGGCCCUAAAGUCAGUGGCGGUGCCUUCCGGCUCCGAGCGUAGUAAUUCUUCUCGCUCUGGAGACCCGGUUGUGUGCUUGCCAACAACCCCCAAUUUUUUAAGGUUGACCUCGGAUCAGGUAGGGAUACCCGCUGAACUUAAGCAUAUCAAUAAGCGGAGGA
Molecule: unclassified non-coding RNA, 329 nt
Filed under: soil metagenome
Description: partial contains 5.8S ribosomal RNA, internal transcribed spacer 2, and large subunit ribosomal RNA
Rfam family: 5.8S ribosomal RNA (bases 1-120)
Source: RNAcentral